CCUGUAGCUCAGUGGUCAGAGCAGGCGACUCAUAAUCGCUUGGUCGCGGGUUCGAGCCCCGCCGGG
This 66-nucleotide transfer RNA is filed under the name uncultured Akkermansia sp. It matches the Rfam family "tRNA". From Rfam's summary of the family: Transfer RNA (tRNA) molecules are approximately 80 nucleotides in length. Their secondary structure includes four short double-helical elements and three loops (D, anti-codon, and T loops). Lineage: Bacteria; Pseudomonadati; Verrucomicrobiota; Verrucomicrobiia; Verrucomicrobiales; Akkermansiaceae. The record is from RNAcentral.